This is a non-coding RNA of Chiloscyllium plagiosum (whitespotted bambooshark), 699 nucleotides long. Lineage: Eukaryota; Metazoa; Chordata; Chondrichthyes; Orectolobiformes; Hemiscylliidae. The record is from RefSeq and is a predicted model, not a curated record.
UGGAGGGAAACUCAAUUUUGAAAUACGACUGUCUGUUCGCCCUUGCCGUACCCAGUGCCUGGAUGAAGACUUCAGAUUACGUCGGCCUUCGGUCUGGGUGGAAUUCCCUGAUGUAGUAAUGGACCUAUCGGGUAGGCCACCUGGCUUUGUUUACCUUCUGUGAUACAACUCUUCGGGAGCCUACAGAUGAUUUCCACCCAUGAUUUCUUGGCUUUCUUCACAGUUGCACCCUCCUGUACCUGUCUAUGGAUAAAAUUUGGUGAAAAUAAUCUAAGGGAUGUGACUGCAUUUGGAAACACAGUGACCAGGUUGCAAACAAGAAAUAAAUGCUCCACUGUUACAUCUUCAUCUGCAUUACACUGAUUAACUUGGAUCCAUUUCUUACAUUCUUACCUCUGCAUAUUGAUCAGUAAUAUAGUUGAAGAAUUACUAAGACACCAAGAUGGAAACAACGAAAGAUAAGACAAAAGAAGACUUACAAGAAGAAAGCAUAACAUGUCCUGAUGAUAUUCCACUGGUUGAGUUCCUUGUUGGCACAACAAAUGAAGCCAGAUCCAGCAGCUGUGAUGACUUCAGUCGAUGACUAGAUGGUUUCUUAGACAUGUAGAUUUCCCAGUGGGGCAGAUUCUGGGAUAUUUCUGUCGACAUGGCACAUUUAUUACGCCAGUUACUUCAUAGUUUCAAGAUGUCACAUCCUUA